GGCCCGCCCUCCCCGUCACGUGACGGGGGCGCGCACCAGGUGCACGAUGAUGGUGGCGCCGGCGCCCAGCGGCGGCGGGUAGAAAAUGGCGGAUUUCGAGGAGCUGCGGAAUAUGGUAUCAAGUUUUCGUGUUUCUGAACUGCAAGUGUUGCUGGGGUUUGCUGGACGGAACAAAAGCGGACGCAAACAUGACCUCCUGAUGAGGGCUCUGCACUUAGUGAAGAGCGGCUGCAGCCCGGCAGUUCAGAUCAAGAUCCGAGAGCUCUACAGGCGUCGGUACCCAAGGACGAUCGAGGGACUUUCAGACCUAUCGGCAAUAACGCCUGCGGCUUUCAACCUGGACAGUAGUUCCUCUCCUGUGGAGCCUGAUCUGGCUGUUUCUGGCAUUCACUCACUCCCUUCUACUUCGGUCACGCCUCAGUCUUCUUCUCCGCCUGUCAGGUCCGUGCUACUCCAAGAGACUAAGUCCCACUUUGAGAUGCAGCAGGCAUCCCCUCCAAUCCCACCCGUUCAUCCCGAUGUCCAGCUGAAAAGCUUACCUUUCUACGAUGUGCUUGAUGUGCUCAUAAAGCCCACGAGUCUAGUACAGAGCAGUAUUCAGCGUUUCCAAGAGAAGUUUUUUAUCUUUGCUUUAACACCUCAGCAAGUCAGAGAAAUCUGUAUUUCCAGGGACUUCUUGCCCGGAGGCAGGAGAGACUACACAGUCCAAGUUCAGCUAAGGUUAUGCCUAGCAGAGACAAGCUGCCCUCAAGAAGAUAAUUAUCCUAAUAGUUUGUGCAUUAAAGUAAAUGGGAAGCUGUUUCCAUUGCCGGGAUAUGCUCCACCACCAAAAAAUGGAAUUGAACAGAAGCGACCUGGCCGUCCCUUGAAUAUCACAUCUCUAGUUAGGCUGUCAUCAGCAGUGCCAAACCAGAUUUCCAUUUCCUGGGCUUCUGAAAUUGGGAAGAGUUACUCCAUGUCUGUAUAUCUUGUCCGUCAGCUCACGUCGGCUAUGCUUCUGCAGAGGUUAAAACUGAAAGGUAUCAGAAACCCCGACCAUUCCAGAGCACUAAUUAAAGAAAAGCUAACUGCAGAUCCUGAUAGUGAGAUUGCCACAACCAGUCUGCGGGUAUCUCUGAUGUGUCCUCUGGGAAAAAUGAGACUGACAAUCCCCUGCCGGGCUGUGACUUGCACACACCUGCAAUGUUUUGAUGCUGCUCUUUACCUUCAAAUGAAUGAAAAGAAGCCUACCUGGAUCUGCCCUGUCUGUGACAAAAAGGCAGCUUACGAGAGCCUAAUACUAGAUGGGCUCUUUAUGGAAAUCCUUAAUGAAUGUUCAGAUGUGGAUGAGAUCAAAUUCCAAGAAGAUGGCUCCUGGUGCCCCAUGAGGCCAAAGAAAGAAGCUGUGAAAGUCUCAAGUUCUCAGUGCACCACAAUAGAAAGUUCCAGUGUUGUCAGCAAACCCUGUUCUGUGACAGUGGCCAGCGAGGCUAGCAAGAAGAAAGUUGACGUUAUCGACCUGACAACAGAAAGCUCUUCUGAUGAAGAGGAUGAUCCUCCUAUCAAAAGGAAGUGCAUUUACAUGUCUGAAAUACAUGGGAGCCCAACCAAAGGGGUUCUCAUGUACCAGCCAUCCACUGCCAGAGUGCCCAGCGUGACGACGGUCGAUGCUGCUGCUAUUCCUCCUUCAUUAACGGAGUACCCAGUACCAUUCCAUCACCCACCAAUAUCCAGUAUUUCAUCAGACUUGCCAGACAUACCCUAAAUGCCUAUGAUGUAUUCUUCAACACUGCUGCUAAAUAUCAGACAAAAGGUGGGGAUACUGAUUGUUUUCUAUCCUGGCUCCUUGAAAAGAACACUUGUAUAUAGGGACUCUGGGGGUUCUCUUGGCGGGCUGUAACAAACCCAGAGCCCAGGAAGUGGUGACUUGUGGUGACAGGUGUCACUUUGGCCUCCUGUACUUCCCCUCUCCCUGCUCCAUUGCCUGUUUCCAUGCCUCCCCUGCAACAUCUCUGGGUUUUUUCCUCUUCUUUCAGCACCAGUUUGGCAAUGAGAUGGAUAUCAUUCCCCUUGUUUCUCUGUCCAUUUUGGCUCCCUUACUGCUCCCUCCCUCCACUUCUCCCUUGUUAUGAAAUCAGCUGUCUUCUCAAAUUGGGUAGGAGAGUAAGCUGAGAGAAUGGAAGUCUAGAACUGUUGUCCAUCUGAAUCAACAGAAGUUCUAGGACAUGCAUGAACAAAAGAAGCUGCCAAUUCUGUAAAUGCAGCUGAGCGUUAAAUCUCCUCCAAAAUUUCUCUCUAAUGGAGAAGAGGAGGAGAGAUGUCACUGGCCAGAACAGAUCUGGAGGUAAGGGGAGAGGGAGGGAGGAAGUUUAUCAUUUCUUUCUGUUGGCAUAGCAAACACAAGGCCAAUAUUUAGAAACAAAACAAAAAAAAACGUGGUAAUUUCUCAUUGGUUUCAUAGUUCUAAACAUCUUGCCCUAAAUGCUUACACACUAAUGGUGUUUAAGAUGGACGCUAGUUGUCACUGCUCUUAGAGGAUAUACUUUGAACUACUUGUAGUUUCCUCUUCUUCAUUCCUUUCAUUUGUCUAGACACAAAACGGGGAUGAUAUUAGAAAUGUUUCCUUAUUGGCUGCCCGUGGGUGGAGGAAGAGACCUGCUGCUUGUUUUUGGACUUGUGCAUGUUGUGACUUUACUUCAUUCCAGCAUCUUUAAUGUGAUGACACUCUUCAUGUCCCAGUUUGGCCAAGUCAGGUCUGGAUUUUCUUUCGUUAAUCCCAGUUGAUUCGCAGUACUGUCCUCCUAUGUUUUUGGAUAGUCUCACCUCAACCUUAACAAGCAGCACGCCUGGCAGCAUCAUCACCUCAACCAG
RNA transcript from Empidonax traillii (willow flycatcher), 2850 nucleotides. It is a transcript of the gene named protein inhibitor of activated STAT 2, with no coding region annotated. The transcript has 15 exons. NCBI's taxonomy places the organism in Eukaryota, Metazoa, Chordata, Aves, Passeriformes, Tyrannidae. The record is from RefSeq and is a predicted model, not a curated record.